CGAACGCUGGCGGCGUGCCUAAUACAUGCAAGUAGGACGCACAGUCUAUACCGUAGCUUGCUACACCAUAGGCUGUGAGUUGCGAACGGGUGAGUAACGCGUAGGUAACCUGCCUAUUAGAGGGGGAUAACUAUUGGAAACGAUAGCUAAUACCGCAUAACAGUAUGUAACACAUGUUAGAUGCUUGAAAGAUGCAAUUGCAUCGCUAGUAGAUGGACCUGCGUUGUAUUAGCUAGUAGGUAGGGUAAUGGCCUACCUAGGCGACGAUACAUAGCCGACCUGAGAGGGUGAUCGGCCACACUGGGACUGAGACACGGCCCAGACUCCUACGGGAGGCAGCAGUAGGGAAUCUUCGGCAAUGGGGGGAACCCUGACCGAGCAACGCCGCGUGAGUGAAGAAGGUUUUCGGAUCGUAAAGCUCUGUUGUUAAGGAAGAACGAGUGUGAGAAUGGAAAGUUC
RNAcentral lists this ribosomal RNA (459 nucleotides) under Streptococcus anginosus. RNAcentral describes it as "bacterial SSU rRNA". It matches the Rfam family "Bacterial small subunit ribosomal RNA", at positions 30 to 465 of the family's 1533-position model. Lineage: Bacteria; Bacillati; Bacillota; Bacilli; Lactobacillales; Streptococcaceae. The record is from RNAcentral.